Molecule: ribosomal RNA, 253 nt
Filed under: uncultured bacterium
Lineage: Bacteria
Description: partial 16S ribosomal RNA
Rfam family: Bacterial small subunit ribosomal RNA
Source: RNAcentral
AACGUAGGUACCGAGCGUUAUCCGGAUUUACUGGGCGUAAAGCGCGUUCAGGCGGUUUGGCAAGUCGGGCAUGAAAUCUCUCGGCUCAACCGGGAGAGGUUGUCCGAUACUUCCAGACUUGAGGGCAGUAGAGGGUGGUGGAAUUCCGGGUGUAGUGGUGAAAUGCGUAGAUAUCCGGAGGAACACCAGUGGCGAAAGCGGCCACCUGGACUGCACCCGACGCUGACACGCGAAAGCUAGGGGAGCGAACGGG